GCCCCCAACAGCUAGCCCGCCUUUAAAAUACAUCAAUCACCAUUAUUAACCCCAAAACAACAAAACACAACAUAAACAAACCAUUUUUCCCCCCUAGUAUAGGAGACAGAAAAGGACUAUAGGCGCAAUAGAAAAAGUACCGUAAGGGAAAGCUGAAAGAGAACUGAAACAAACCAGUAAAGGGAUAGAAAGCAGAGAUUUAACCUCGUACCUUUUGCAUCAUGAUUUAGCUAGAAAACAUCAAGCGAAGAGCCCUUUAUGUUUGAUACCCCGAAACUAAGCGAGCUACUCCAAGACAGCCUAUUAUUAGGGCAAACCCGUCUCUGUGGCAAAAGAGUGGGAAGAGCUUUGAGUAGAGGUGACAAACCUACCGAGCCUAGUUAUAGCUGGUUGCCUGAGACUUGAAUAGAAGUUCAGCCUUUUAACUUUUUUAACCCAACAAGGUAACACCCGCCCCCGGAUAAAAGAAACUAAAAGAGUUAUUCAAAAGAGGAACAGCUCUCUUGAAAAAAGAUACAACUUUUGACAGCAGGUUAAAGAUCAUAAGCCUAUUAAGGUAUUGUACCCAAGUGGGCCUAAAAGCAGCCACCUUAGUAAAAAGCGUUAAAGCUCAAGUAUUACCCUACCAACAAUUACGGCAAACAAUCUCUUACACCCCUUAACCUAUUGGGCCUUUCCACGCAAACAUGGAAAAGAUACUGCUAACAUGAGUAAUAAGAGAGGACCGCCUCUCUCAAACGCAUCUGUGUAAAUCAGAACGAACUCUCACUGAAAAUUAACGUCCCCAAAAACAGAGGGUAUUGAAUAAAAACUUAAAACUAGAAAACCUGCCAAAAAUAAACGUUAGCCCUACACAGGAAUGCUAUAUGAAAGACAAAAAGAGAAAGAAGGAACUCGGCAAACAUUGGUCCCGCCUGUUUACCAAAAACACCGCCUCUUGCCUAUCCCCUUAUAAGAGGUCCCGCCUGCCCUGUGACAGUAUGUUUAACGGCCGCGGUAUUUUGACCGUGCGAAGGUAGCGUAAUCACUUGUUUUUUAAAUAAAGACCUGUAUGAAUGGCAUAACGAGGGCUAAGCUGUCUCCUUUCUCCAGUCAAUGAAAUUGAUCUGCCCGUGCAGAAGCGAGCAUAUGAACAUAAGACGAGAAGACCCUAUGGAGCUUUAGACGCCAGGAGAGACCAUGUAAAGAUACCUGAUAUAAAGGAAAAAACAGAAUGGCUGCUCCCCUUAUGUCUUUGGUUGGGGCGACCGCGGAGUAAUAACAAUCCUCCACGUGGAAUGGGGCCCACUCCCCCAAAACUAGAGCCACAGCUCUAACAAACAGAAGAUCUGACCCUCAAGACCCGGCAACGCCGAUCAACGGACCCAGUUACCCUAGGGAUAACAGCGCAAUCCUCUUUUAGAGCCCAUAUCGACAAGAGGGUUUACGACCUCGAUGUUGGAUCAGGACUCCCUAAUGGUGCAGCCGCUAUUAAGGGUUCGUUUGUUCAACGAUUAAAGUCCUACGUGAUCUGAGUUCAGACCGGAGAAAUCCAGGUCAGUUUCUAUCUAUGAAGCACCCUUUUCUAGUACGAAAGGACCGAAAAGGGGGGGCCUAUGCCUUAAGCAAGCCCCACCCUGACCUUAUGUUACCCACUAAAUAAGGUAAAAGGGAGUAACUCCUAUGCCUGAGAAAAAGGCUA
This 1681-nucleotide ribosomal RNA is filed under the name Callogobius okinawae. RNAcentral describes it as "16S rRNA". It matches the Rfam family "Bacterial large subunit ribosomal RNA". The record is from RNAcentral. Lineage: Eukaryota; Metazoa; Chordata; Actinopteri; Gobiiformes; Gobiidae.